RNAcentral lists this ribosomal RNA (206 nucleotides) under uncultured bacterium. Its description in RNAcentral is "partial 16S ribosomal RNA". It matches the Rfam family "Bacterial small subunit ribosomal RNA", at positions 568 to 774 of the family's 1533-position model. The record is from RNAcentral.
CACGCAGGCGGUCUGUCAAGUCGGAUGUGAAAUCCCCGGGCUCAACCUGGGAACUGCAUUCGAAACUGGCAGGCUAGAGUCUUGUAGAGGGGGUAGAAUUCCUAGUGUAGCGGUGAAAUGCGUAGAUAUUAGGAGGAACACCAGUGGCGAAGGCGGCUUACUGGACGGUAACUGACGUUGAGGCUCGAAAGUGUGGGUAGCAAACA